UACAGAGGUCCCAAGCGUUGUUCGGAUUCACUGGGCGUAAAGGGUGCGUAGGCGGUCGGGUAAGUCUGAUGUGAAAUCUUCAAGCUUAACUUGGAAACUGCGUCGGAUACUAUUCGGCUAGAGGAAUGGAGGGGAGACUGGAAUACUUGGUGUAGCAGUGAAAUGCGUAGAUAUCAAGUGGAACACCAGUGGCGAAGGCGAGUCUCUGGACAUUUCCUGACGCUGAGGCACGAAAGCCAGGGGAGCAAACGGG
RNAcentral lists this ribosomal RNA (253 nucleotides) under uncultured bacterium. Its description in RNAcentral is "partial 16S ribosomal RNA". It matches the Rfam family "Bacterial small subunit ribosomal RNA", at positions 524 to 776 of the family's 1533-position model. The record is from RNAcentral.